AUGAUUCUCAUCACGGAUGUUUCUUUCUCUCUCUCCCUUUCUAUUCCUCUCUGAAAUCAAUACAAAUAUAUUUUGUUUUCUUUUUAUUUCUUUAUAAAGAGGCCACCAGGAACACACCUGUAAUCAGAAAGUUGGGUUUAAUUAGUCGUUGCAACGAGGGAGAACACUCAAGGUGGGCAAAGCACCUGCUCUCCACUAUUAGCUAUAUCUGGUGUCAACUGAAAAAUAAUAUGGGCUAGAUGUUUUGUCACCAAGAAAAAUUUAUUCAGGAAAAAGAGAGGGUUGCAAUCUGAUGCAAGCAAACAUGGCAAGCCAUGUGCACACUCUAGCCUGCAUGCCACAAUGCAGGGGCAUUUAUAAAAGGGGGAAAGGGAGUGAAGGAAGGAGAGGUGAGAUCCAUAAAGGUUUGCUAUAAACAUAGAGUUCUUCUUGUGGGCUCCUCCCAUGCAGGGUUCUCCAGAUUAAGGUAGCUGUGAGAACUUCCAUAAGCCUUAACUUCUCCUGCACACUCUCCUGACUGAUUAUAUUUGCCUCAAGUUUCAGUUAGUCUUUAUCACAGAGUUCUCCUAGUUCAGAUACUGUCUGUUUAGCCUGGAUGGAGUAUAAACUUUCAAUCUCCUGCCAAUGUGAAAGGGGACCAAUUGGUGGGGCUAUGGCAGACCAGGAGUGGGGAUCUGGCGAUGUGUUUAUUGAACGGAAAGGCCUUUAAAUGAUUCUCCUGUAUUUAGUCCUGAGCCUUUGGAGAGUUCUUUGUGGGUAAAUCGAGUUGCUUUUUUGGCUUUCUUUAAGAAUGUCCUAGGAUUCUGCUUAUUUUAAUAGGCUGUCAGAUACCACCUGCCCAUUUGCUUUAUAACUGUCAUUCCUUUUUUUGUUUGCUUUCUCACGGGGUUUAAAAGAAUCUCCUUACUGUUAUUUUAGUGGGGCUUAAGUAGAGAGAGAAUCUAAAUGUGUUUGAUUUGUCAUCUCAUUGUUAUUGGUUUACACCAAGCAUGUCAAACUCAAAGGCUAACAAGGGCCAAAUAAACAAGGUUAAGUUUAUGUGGGUCGCAAAAAAACAAAAAACUCUGAAAGCUUUAAUUUUCAUAGGAAUGUAGAUUUAUUUCAAUAGAGAAAUGCUGAAUGAAAAGGGCUGAAAUACAAUAAAUGGAUAAUUGUUAAUGAGUAUUCGUUGUGGGUUGCAGGUUUGACAUACUUGAUUUAUACACAUAUUCAUUAAAUGAUGUAAUGACCAAAUGCUGGGCAUUUGAAUACUUUUUUUUUUUUUUCAUGAGCCAAGCCUUGUGUUAUUUUUUUAUACUCAUGUUGGUGUUUAAUGAGAAAUACAAGUGACUUCCUAGAAUUAAUAGCUAGUAGGUGUAUUUUCCUUAUAUGUUCUGUUGAUUUGUGUUCUGAAUAAGAAGACAAUAUCUCCCUUACAUAAAUAAAGCCUUUUCAAUUGCCUCAUAUAAAAAACUAAAGAUAUUUUGAAGUAUAGCAGAAAGAAAACAGUAUAGUAUAGGGGGUAAGCCAAACUGUCUGGUUCAAAUCCCAGUUCUGCAUUUUUCUAGCUGUGUGGCUUUGUACAAGUUUCUUCAUUUUCUGUGCUUCAGUGUCCUCAGCUGUAAAAUGUGGAUAUUAGAAUCUUACUUAUGUGAUAUUAGAUGAUUUCAUAGACCUGGAAAAACUGAGAGCUGUGCUUGUUUCUUAGUAAAUACUAUAAAAUCAUUUCUUAAGAAUUAAGGGAAAGAGAAUCUUUAGGAGGGGACUGCUGGUUAUUCCCCAAUAUUUAGUAUUCUCUUGUUUUAUAAUAGCAGACCUUCCAAAUUUCAGCUGAGUACAUGGGUGCUUGGUAGAAAAAAUUCAUUAUAGUAAUUGCAUUGGCCAUAAGAUGAAAUUCUAGCUAAUGGGACAUCAGUGGACACUGGAUGUGCAGCUUCCAAGAAAUGUCUUAAAGGGGUAGAGUGUGCCUUGAUCACUCCCUUGGUUUGUGGUUUCCCUGAUAGUCUGAGUGCAGACAUGAUGGCUACAGCCCCCUUGGACCACAGGUAGAAUCUGCAGGUUGAAGAUGGAAGAGCAGCAGGAUGAGAGAGAAGGAGGCUGAGCCCUAACAUCAAGGAACCACCACUCCAGCCCUGGACUAUACUAGUAUUUACAUGAGAGAGAAAAUCAAUUUUGUUUAACUUAUUUAUGUGUGUUUUCUGAUGUGCAGUCAUGGUAUGGCUUGGAUGGUUUAGUCUUCGCUUAUCAAAGGCGUCCCACUUUACUUUUAAAUGAGCCUUCCAGGUAACAAUAGUGACAGAAGGAGGUCAGGGUAGAAGAUACCCGCAAUGCCUCAUUUUCUGGAUACUAGAGGCCUGGUGCAUGAAAUUUGUGCAUUGGAGGAGAGGGAGUCCCCUUAAUCCAGCCUGCACCCUCUCCAAUCCAGGACCCCUCAGGGAAUGCCUGACUGCCUCUCGCAAUCUGGGACUGCUGGCUCCUAACUGUUCGCCUGCCUGACUGCCUGAUCGCCUCUGCCUUGCACUGCACCUGGGAGCAGGAUUCCCUCCUUCUGGCCGGCUGUAGGCACACAGAGCCUGGGCCAGCUGCAGCCACAGAGGGCUGUGGGCAGGCAGCUUCACCUGGGGCCACAAGUGUAGGUGCCCAAGACCGUGGGGUGGGCGACUUGUCUGUCUCCCGGGCCUCAGCCUGACUGGUCUCCAUUCCUCUCUCACGAGCUCAUUUGUCCUAGCUGGUUCCCAUGAUGGUGUGAGGGUGUGACAUUCAUUUGCAUAUUAGUUCUUUAUUAUAUAGGAUGCUUCUCAAGAGGUAGCUGUCACUUCUGGGUACUAAGACUUUUUUUCUUUAUCUUAUAACCUUAGAGCUAUACUAAGAAGUACUAGG
This is a long non-coding RNA of Pipistrellus kuhlii (Kuhl's pipistrelle), 2859 nucleotides long. RefSeq lists it as uncharacterized. The transcript has 3 exons. NCBI's taxonomy places the organism in Eukaryota, Metazoa, Chordata, Mammalia, Chiroptera, Vespertilionidae. The record is from RefSeq and is a predicted model, not a curated record.